Long non-coding RNA from Zingiber officinale, 181 nucleotides. RefSeq lists it as uncharacterized. NCBI's taxonomy places the organism in Eukaryota, Viridiplantae, Streptophyta, Magnoliopsida, Zingiberales, Zingiberaceae. The record is from RefSeq and is a predicted model, not a curated record. The transcript has 4 exons.
GAAGAAGAAGCCCAAGAUCAUGCAGCAGCAUCUUGAUUAUUGUUUCCCUGGUUUAUGGCUAUCCAAGAUAACUCCUCGAUCCUACAAAGCCAAUGAAUAAGAUAACUCAGAGACUCUUUGACGAGAUGACUAAUCAAAAUGACAUGUGUUCUUAUAGUCCGUAUACAUUGUGAAGGUUGUA